Molecule: long non-coding RNA, 1230 nt
Filed under: Canis lupus familiaris (dog)
Lineage: Eukaryota; Metazoa; Chordata; Mammalia; Carnivora; Canidae
Description: lncRNA (ENSCAFG00000053261.1, ENSCAFG00845000718.1)
Source: RNAcentral
GCAGAGUCCUCUCCCAGUGGAGCCACACAGCACACGCCAAACCCCUCUAGCACUGGAUUCUGACACAUAAAGUGUCGUCUACAGUUUGUUAGAGACUCAGUGCCCAGGGUUUUACUAGGGGCUGGCCACAUAUGCACCCACUACGUAGCAUGUACCAAAAUUUCAGACUCCCAGAAGGAAAGUAGGCAUUUGGUAUAAAUCACACUAUUUGUACAAAUUGCUUACAUGCAGUGAACCACUCUUAUCAUUCAGGGAAUGGUGGGAAUCUUCCCACGAUCCAAGUUUCCAGACACCAGCCAAAGGCCAGCCCUGUAUCAGGCCUUUUGAAGAAUGGUGACCUCAUAUCUGCUGUCAACCCUCUUCUGCACAAUGGGCAAGGAAGGGGUAGAAUGGAACACAGAUAGGCAUGGGCCAAGGCUGAGAGUCACCCCACCUGUCAGCUGCCAUUGGGAUUGUUUUAUAACCAAACACUUACUGCAACAGGGCCUGGUCAAACAGAAUGUCCAAAAAAUCUGGACAUGAAUGUGCAUAGAGCACUGUUCCCAGAGGUUAGAAGCCAGACAAAAAUAAAUAAAUAAAUAAAUAAAUAAAUAAAUAAAUAAAUAAAUAAGAAGCCAGACAAAAAGGAUACACAUAACAUGACAUAUAUCUAUAUGAAAAAUAAAUGAAUUUGGGAUGCCUGGGUGGCUCAGCAGUUUGGUGCCUGCUUUCGGCCCAGGGUGUGAUCCUGGAGACCCGGGAUCCAGUCCCAUGUCGGGCUCCCUACAUGGAGCCUGCUUCUCUCUAUCUCUGACUCUCUUUGUAUCUCUCAUUAAUAAAUAAAUACAAUCUUUUUUAAAAAAGAAAUGAAUUUAUAUGAAUACAUUUAUAUAAACUUCAUUUAUCUGAAAGGUCAGAACAAGCAAAUCAUAGAGACAGAAAGCAGAUUGGUGGCUGGCAGGUCCGGGGAAGUGACUACUAAAUGACUGUCAGGUGUUUUCAGGCUCUUGCAACUACUAGAUCCUUUCUGUUUGAUGUAUAUUGCACCUCCUUUUCCCAGGAGGAGAAAUAAACUGAUCUGAAGCAUCAUGACUGUAGUUACGAUACUGUAUUGUAUACCUCAAAUUUCCUAAGAGUUGAUUGGAAGCGUUCUCACUACAGAAAGAAACAUCACAACUCUGUGAGUUGAUGGAUAUAUAAAUUAGCUUGAUAGUGACCAUUUCAUAAUGUAUAUCAAAAUACCAUGUUGUA